GUGUCAGCAGCCGCGGUAAUACGGAGGGUGCAAGCGUUAUCCGGAAUCAUUGGGUUUAAAGGGUCCGCAGGCGGGUUUAUAAGUCAGUGGUGAAAGCCUACAGCUCAACUGUAGAACUGCCAUUGAUACUGUAGAUCUUGAAUUCGGUCGAAGUGGGCGGAAUAUGACAUGUAGCGGUGAAAUGCUUAGAUAUGUCAUAGAACACCGAUAGCGAAGGCAGCUCACUAGGCCUGGAUUGACGCUCAGGGACGAAAGCGUGGGGAGCAAACAGGAUUAGAAACCCCAGUAGUCC
Molecule: ribosomal RNA, 292 nt
Filed under: uncultured Fluviicola sp.
Lineage: Bacteria; Pseudomonadati; Bacteroidota; Flavobacteriia; Flavobacteriales; Crocinitomicaceae
Description: partial 16S ribosomal RNA
Rfam family: Bacterial small subunit ribosomal RNA
Source: RNAcentral